This 469-nucleotide ribosomal RNA is filed under the name uncultured bacterium. RNAcentral's name for it is "partial 16S ribosomal RNA". It matches the Rfam family "Bacterial small subunit ribosomal RNA", at positions 28 to 507 of the family's 1533-position model. The record is from RNAcentral.
GAUGAACGCUGGCGGCGCGCCUAACACAUGCAAGUCGAACGGUUAAAGCACCUUUUAGGUGUGUAUAAAGUGGCGGACGGCUGAGUAACACGUGGGCAACCUGCCCUCCUCUUGGGGAUAGCCUCGGGAAACCGAGGAUAAUACCCGAUACUUCAAUGUGGCCGCAUGACGACAUUGAGAAAGCUUUUGCGGAGAAGGAUGGGCCCGCGGCCUGUUAGCUUGUUGGUGGGGUAGAGGCCUACCAAGGCAAUGAUGGGUAGCUGGGUUGAGAGACCGACCAGCCAGAUUGGGACUGAGACACGGCCCAGACUCCUACGGGAGGCAGCAGUGGGGAAUCUUGCACAAUGGGCGAAAGCCUGAUGCAGCGACGCCGCGUGCGGGACGAAGGCCUUCGGGUUGUAAACCGCUUUCAGCAGGGACGAGGCGAUAAGUGACGGUACCUGCAGAAGAAGCCCCGGCUAACUACGUG